Molecule: unclassified non-coding RNA, 143 nt
Filed under: uncultured fungus
Lineage: Eukaryota; Fungi
Description: sequence contains ITS1
Source: RNAcentral
GGGACUACACGGUAUCUAAUCCUGUUCGCUACCCACGCUUUCGUCCAUCAGUGUCAAUGUAUUGUUAGUAAUCUGCCUUCGCAAUCGGUAUUCUAUGUGAUAUCUAUGCAUUUCACCGCUACACCACAUAUUCUAACUACUUC